Molecule: long non-coding RNA, 728 nt
Organism: Melanotaenia boesemani (Boeseman's rainbowfish)
Lineage: Eukaryota; Metazoa; Chordata; Actinopteri; Atheriniformes; Melanotaeniidae
Exons: 3
Source: RefSeq, a predicted model, not a curated record
UGGCUUUCUCUGAUCCAAACAAAACCUUUGGGAGCAGUUAAAGUGAAAAACGUCGCCUGUCGGUGCUAUGCGUGGGUCGCUACGGAGAGAAACUUCAUCAUCUGUGCUGCCGUUGGACACGAGGCCAGUCAGCGAGGGUGCGAGCAACUUCGGUGCGGCUUCGGCCUGAAGAACUUCAGCCAAGGUGCAAGUCUACAUCCAUCUGCCUCCAUGUCUACAGUUCUGCAGCAGCUGGGUGUCCAAAUCAGCGGCCAAGGUUUUGAGAAAGGACUGCUACAGUAACAUUUCACCAUCAUGCAUAAUCAUGCAUAUCAGGUCAGACUGUGUCAUUAUAGUUCGUUAAGACAGAGGCAAGGAAAGUCAAAGAAGAGUUAUGUGUAAAAGGGUUUCUGAAAUGUUUACUCAGUCACACUAAUAUUAUUUGGUGUUUGAUAUAAGAGGGUUGCAAUUGUUAAGUCCCUGUCUUUGUUAACUACUUGAAAGAUACAGUCAAUAUUACCAAUAUUACUGUGAAAAUGGCAACUGAAUUAUGUGAUUUGGAGGUCAUUAUUGAAGCUUUAAAGUCUGAAAAGGCUCAGUUAGAAAACAAGUUAGAUAGUGACCCCGAGGAUUCAGAAAGGGUACAGGUUGAAGUACGUCUAGGGGAGAUUUGUGCAGAUCUUGAAAUACACAAAAUCGGAUUACCCCAACCAGGUCCUCCUGGUGAACCAGAAACUUUAGAUCCCUCA